AAUCUGCAUGAUAAACAAAAAACAUUAGUUGGACCUGAACAUUCAAAAGCCUUAUAGAAGAAACCAAACCAAAUGAUCUUAUGUCCCCAGUGAACCUACAAAAUGAUCUUAUGCCCCAAAUAAACCUAUAUGACAGCAUACUUAAUGAUAACCAUAAAUUUAAAUUUAUACUAUAUUAUUUUCCAAAUGCAUUGCUUGUAUCUUCUAAAAUCACAAUAAUAAAGAAAAUCAAAUUUCCAACUUGAAGAUGUUGAACUCAAUCUCCCAUAAUCAGCCUCAAAUACAAUAAGUAAAUUAACAACAAAAACAAUUUAAGACAUUGGCAUGAAUCAGGAAAUAUAAUACCUUCUCAAGAGCAUUUUGUACCUAAAUAAUUGUUGACUAACGCUAGAUGAUCCAAUAGUAACUAUUUUUGUUCCCUAUAUUGAAAAUGAUUCUUGUUACAUCCAUCAUUUUUAAUGCUGGAAUUUCUGCCGAUAAUUGGAAUUUCCGGUGAAACUUAGGGUUUUGCGGAUAGUGGAAUAGUGGUAAGAGUUUUAAGUGUGUUAUAAGUGUUUGUUAGAAGGCUUAGAAGGUUGAGACUUGAGAUUUUAGAGUUAAAUAUGGAAGAGAAGAAAGAACUUGCGGCUAACGAAAGCCCCUCGGGUAACAUGAGUAUUUAUAGAACUAUAUAGACGAAAAUUGAAUAA
This 689-nucleotide unclassified non-coding RNA is filed under the name Hevea brasiliensis (rubber tree). Lineage: Eukaryota; Viridiplantae; Streptophyta; Magnoliopsida; Malpighiales; Euphorbiaceae. The record is from RNAcentral.